GACGAACGCUGGCGGCGUGCUUAACACAUGCAAGUCGAACGGAAAGGCCCUGCUUUUGUGGGGUGCUCGAGUGGCGAACGGGUGAGUAACACGUGAGUAACCUGCCCUUGACUUUGGGAUAACUUCAGGAAACUGGGGCUAAUACCGGAUCGGAGCUCCUGCUGCAUGGUGGGGGUUGGAAAGUUUCGGCGGUUGGGGAUGGACUCGCGGCUUAUCAGCUUGUUGGUGGGGUAGUGGCUUACCAAGGCUUUGACGGGUAGCCGGCCUGAGAGGGUGACCGGCCACAUGGGGACUGAGAUACGGCCCAGACUCCUACGGGAGGCAACAGGGGGGAAUAUUGCACAAUGGGCGGAAGCCUGAUGCAGCAACGCCGCGUGCGGGAUGACGGCCUUCGGGUUGUAAACCGCUGUCGCCUGUGACGAAGCGUGAGUGACGGUAAUGGGUAAAGAAGCACCGGCUAACUACGUG
RNAcentral lists this ribosomal RNA (468 nucleotides) under uncultured bacterium. RNAcentral's name for it is "partial 16S ribosomal RNA". It matches the Rfam family "Bacterial small subunit ribosomal RNA", at positions 28 to 507 of the family's 1533-position model. The record is from RNAcentral.